This 440-nucleotide ribosomal RNA is filed under the name uncultured bacterium. RNAcentral's name for it is "partial 16S ribosomal RNA". It matches the Rfam family "Bacterial small subunit ribosomal RNA", at positions 338 to 795 of the family's 1533-position model. The record is from RNAcentral.
CCUACGGGUGGCAGCAGUGAGGAAUAUUGGACACUGGACGAAACCCUGAUGCAGCGACGCCGCGUGAAUGAAGACGGAAUUCGUUGUGUAAAGCUCUCUCAGCAGGGAGGAAAAUGCCGGUACCUGUAUAGGGAGCCCCGGCUAACUCCGUGACAGCAGCACCGGGAAUACGUAGGCGGCCAGCGUUAUCCGGAUUUACUGUGUGUAAAGGGAGCGUAUACGGGAGUGCAAGUCUGGAGUGAAAGGCGGGGGCUCAACCAUCGGACUGCAGUGGAAACUGUACGGAUGGAGUGCAGGAGAGGUAAGUGGAAUUCGUGGUGUAGCGGUGAAAUGCGUAGAUAUGAGGAGGAACACCAGUGGCGAAGGCGGCUUACUGGACUGUAACUGACGCUGAGGCUCGAAAGCGUGGGGAGCAAACAGGAUUAGAUACCCUUGUAGUC